AGUCCCGUAGUGUAGCGGCCAAUCAUUCAGCCCUUUGGAGGCUGAGACGGCGGUUCGAAUCCGCCCGGGACUA
This 73-nucleotide transfer RNA is filed under the name Candidatus Woesearchaeota archaeon. Its description in RNAcentral is "tRNA-Gln". It matches the Rfam family "tRNA". From Rfam's summary of the family: Transfer RNA (tRNA) molecules are approximately 80 nucleotides in length. Their secondary structure includes four short double-helical elements and three loops (D, anti-codon, and T loops). Lineage: Archaea; Nanobdellati; Candidatus Woesearchaeota. The record is from RNAcentral.